This 1409-nucleotide long non-coding RNA is filed under the name Salmo salar (Atlantic salmon). Its description in RNAcentral is "lncRNA (ENSSSAG00000118757.1)". Lineage: Eukaryota; Metazoa; Chordata; Actinopteri; Salmoniformes; Salmonidae. The record is from RNAcentral.
UGAAAAUUGAAUGGUCCUGGCAUAGAAAUGUAUAAAGUUGACAUUACAUCAUAAACUGUAUAUCAUCUAUACUGUGUGGGAGUGCUAUUUAUAUCCCGUCACUACUGAUCAUUCAUCCAUACUGUGUGUGUCCCAUCAUUGCAGCUUUGGAAAUAAAUGAACUAUCCAUCCAUUGCUCCUUCCUGUGUUGACUCACUGACUUGAGGGACCAGGAAGGUCACACUAGCUCGAUAUCUAGCUCAAGCUUGCAAAUGUUAGCCACACCUCAUGCUUUUCAUGAACGGUGUGGUUGUGUUAUCUAGAGGGAACCCGUUAGCACAGUAGGCUCUGGUGCCUUUUUGCCGUGGGUUCAAAACGACAGAGGAAAUCAACCGGCUUGCUCCUUUUUUUCUUUUUUUUUGACACAACAGGCUGAAAAGCGUCAAUGCUACAGGAAGCUUUGUUUCCCCAUCACUACUUCUCAGCAUAUUCUCUGUGAAGUCGACUACGGGAGUUUUGUCACUUUUUCCACCUUGGCUUACUGCUAGUGCACUGACUGACAUCUGGAAUCUAUAUAUUUUGGAUGUUGGGGAUUUUACCAGCCAUCAUUCUCCUUCCUCUCCUCUGAAGACCUAGUGAGGGUGGAGCUUAGUCAGAGAGCUGUUGAGGGACUGGUUAGGAAAAAACCAUUCUACAGCCAGAGAGGGGCAGUCAAGAAAUGGAACAGCAAGGCCACAGAACAUGACAUAAGCAGAGCUGUAGGAGACCACCUCAAGCCCCUGGUAGAGCCGGGGGUUGUGUUUACCACUCCACCACUCCUUCAGCAGGCUUGAAAAGUGAUCGUUUUUCAUAUUAAGAUUGACCAAGAAAUGUGUUGCUUUUGCACAUAUUUGUAAAUUGGUUUGGCAAGAGUCUUGUUUGGUCAGUCAUUGGGUUCAUUUGUUUUACAUUAUGUUCAAAUCAAGAUUUAUUUAUACAGCACAUUUCAGACAUGGAUGCAACGCAAUGGUGAUAAGAGAAUUAUCUAAUAAAGGUAAAUGAAUCAAUAAACCAUUAUGAAUUAUAAGUCAUGUAGCAUGUUAAUGAAUAGUCAAUGUAAUGAAUGAUUAGUCCGAUUAGUCCCAGAACGUCUAGUAGAGGCUGGAGAGGGAGAGAAAUGUGUGUGUGUAUUUAGUGUGCCCAAGAGGGCAGGGGCCAGAUGGUAAAGGGAGUAAAAACUUCAAGGGGUUCCUAACCUUGAGGGAAAGGAACAGGCUGAGCUGGAUAGUGAUAAACAGUGUGGGAAGUCAACGGGGGAUGCAGUUCACCAACAGUUUGUGUGUAAAUGCAUGUGCGUAAGUAAAGAAGAAACUAUAUAAUGACUGUUUUGUUAUCUUGACCUCAGAAGGUUCUCUGAAUAAAGCUACAUGAACCUUUUGCAGAAAGCUGAG